Sander lucioperca (pikeperch) is the source of this 417-nucleotide long non-coding RNA. RefSeq lists it as uncharacterized. The record is from RefSeq and is a predicted model, not a curated record. The transcript has 2 exons. NCBI's taxonomy places the organism in Eukaryota, Metazoa, Chordata, Actinopteri, Perciformes, Percidae.
UUAACAAUGAAGUGUAAAUCAAUCACCACAGUAAGCAGAUUCUGUAGAACAUAAGAUGUAAACUAUAAAUAUGUACUUUUGUUUCCUUAAAGGGUGACACUACAGUAGAGUUUGGUGGAUUUCCAGUUUCACUGAUUGUGUUCGAUGUACGAGGCUAAACCCGUUUGAUUUUAUGCUAACAGGUUAAACCGGCAUUUACACCGGCUCAAGCCUUCACUACAGGCAAAAACAUACAUUUUCAAUUUUUAGUUUUUGGGCUAUUUUGCUUCCUUAACAUGUCGUCUUUUAGACUGGUCAGGGGGAAAUAUCCGAAAUACACAUUUUAGGUUAUUUUACUACACUUUGUCUUUCUGCACCUGUAAAUUUCUCCUAAAUUAACCACAAGUUAGCAUUAGGUCUGGUCUCAUUAGCAUAUUU